Molecule: long non-coding RNA, 1783 nt
Organism: Alligator mississippiensis (American alligator)
Lineage: Eukaryota; Metazoa; Chordata; Crocodylia; Alligatoridae
Exons: 3
Source: RefSeq, a predicted model, not a curated record
UCUGCCAGCAGCUGGAGAGGCAGGAGCUCCCUCAGCUGAGAUAUGGAAAGGAGCAUGACUUGAAAGUACAGCUCAUGAUAGCCCUGAGAGGAGGGGCACUAGGGUUUAGCCAGGGGGCUUUAGUUAAAAAUGAUUCUCUGAUGAAUAUUUUAUUUGUGGGUCUGAAGAUGGCUGACAAGGCCGAUCCGGGAUCAACAGACUCUGCUGCAACUUGGGCAUGUGUUCCUGUGCAGGGUGGGUGGCUCAGUUUUCUCUCCUGCAGAAUCUCUGUGAAACAACCAUAACACGGAGCUGAAGCACCUGCAAGCCUUCCUCCAGCUGGUGCCUAGCAACACAUGUUCCAAAUCAUUCUGAUGACAGUUAAAUUCAGUUAUUUUAUUUCUUCUCUCCAGAGCCACUCUUGAAUCGUCACCAAAAAGAAUGGACUGACUCUUCCCACUCCAUUUGUUAUAAAUGACUGGUAUUGGAAGAGCUGGUUUUCUGUAUUUGUCACAUGGGCACACUCUUGCCAGCUGUAAAAGCUUUCUUGAUCAAUGCACAAGACAGCUGCUGGCCUGUUUUUUUCCUCUUUUAAUCUUCUUUCUGUUCCCAAUAUCACCAGUGGUUUCUAAAGGGUCUUUCUUAGGAUGACGCAUCUGUUAAAUUCAUAACAACUCAUCUAGAUCAUUUCAUGUUCUGUGUACAUAGCUUGCCAGAUAUACCUUGAUUCUGAUACUUUUUAUCAUAGCAGUUUUACCGAAGUCCUCAAUCCUGCAAACCUUUAAGCAAACACUUAACUUUGCCAAGUGAGUAUUCCCAUUAUUAGGGAAGUUGUAGUAUUGCAGUGAAUAUAAUUGCUUAUUUUGGUAUUGAUUAUAAUUGCUUCGACUGUUUAUUCUGUUGUUUCUUUUUAUAUAAAGAAAAAAAUUAACCAUUAAAAUAAAGUUUAUCUGGUUAUGAUUUACAAUUUACUAUAAUUUGAUCAAUCAUUAUUAGUGCUUGGCACUAACCAUCUAUUUUACAUUUCUUAUUGCCUAGCAUAAAUGUAUUUGACCUAUUGGUCUCAUGACUUUAGAACUUAAAUUUAGUAUAAGGAAAACGCUUGUGUAAGGGUUUGUGGUAUGUCUGGUGUGUGUGGAUAUGUCUGGUUUAUGUGCAACGAGGUAACAAAAGAAUAAAUGAUGGACAUAUGUGCCAGCGACACAAAAAGACAGGCCUCUUGCAGCAGGUGAAAAUAGCCUCUGUGGUUUGACGGCUAAGAGCUGCAGCAACCUAGAGUCAGCAGUAAAGGAUUACCAAACACCACAUCACGCUCCAUCCUGAUGGCUGAAGACUGCAAGCGAUGGCCCCUGAAGACUGCAGACCACAAAGCCAGAAGAUCAUGACCUACCAAUCCCAGCCUGCCAACAGGACAAGAAGGAUGGCCUUUGCAUCUGACUCAGUGGAAUCCACAGGCUCUAUGGACAGCUAUCGCUAUAAAGAAUGAACACAAAGACAAGGCUUUGGGUCUUUUCCAUGUGCGAGAAGGAGUUUUGGGCACGUCCAACAAGACCUGACUCCAACUCUCUUGGUCAGCCUGGCUGGCCACCAGACUGACCUUGAGCAACUUUGAAACUCGGUAACGCCUUAACCUUGCAAGACUGUCUAACUUCUGUGUGUGUGUUUGUUUCUUUGUAUGAAUGAAUGAGUAUGCAUGAGAACGAGUGAAGCAAAUAACCUUAUUGUUCUUUAUUCUUUUCAUGUUGCAUGUUUUAUGUUCCAAUAAAUGCGGCGUUGUGCCUUAUCCCCUGAUAAGAUUCCAGCU